AAUUUUCGGUAGAGAAAUGGCCUUAAAUGACCUUAAACCAAGUUUUUCUUCCCAAUCUAACACUAAGGUCCAAAUCACCAAACUAGGUUUAAUUUAAUAGGAUCAUUUAACUUUAUGUCCCUUUCCUUCUCUAAUUACAUUAAAUAAAAAAUUGAAAAUUUAACCUAAAAUCACGACGUCGUCUCUGAUCUCCCACAUCAUCAUCUCCGGUGUGACUCAUCUCCACGGCCAUUAGUUCUAGCAUCGCUCAUCUCCGCCGCCAUUAUCUCCGUUGCCAUUAUCUACGUUUGUCUCUUGCUGCUCCGCUGUCUCAGUUAUACUUUUGAUUUCGUCGUAUUAAAGGUAUCUCAUAUCAAUGUUACUUUUUCAGUUCUCAAUUUGAUGAAGCAGUUAUGGUAUUGAUCCAUUUGAUGGAUUCUUGUAAUUUUGGUUUCAGCAAGAGUGAUUAUGUUGUUUUGAAUUGUUUUGAAUUACUUUCAUUAGACAGAGAUAUAGUACAUCACUAGCAAUGUUUGCUAAGAUUCACUUUGGCUGCAAAAGAAUCAAAUUAUUCUGUGAACAACAAGCUAAUAUACAUGAAAUGUGAUCAUUGUUAUUUUUGAUUUGUAUGUUUUUGGUUUUAGAUGAAUCAACUGGUCUAACCAUAUUUGUUUGGCCACUUCUUCCAUAAUUACUAAAGUCUGGAGUUGUCCCCUUGCUUCUAUGGAGAAUCAGACUGUUAAGCUUUAGCUUGUGACGAUUUUUUUUUUUGUAUUGUAGCUCAGUUAGCAAAAUAUAAAUUUCUGAUACAAUGACAUUAGAAAAUUUUAUUAUCUGAUUGGUUGAAACUUUUCGUUUGAUAUGUAAUGAUUUUAUUAGCUUAUGCCGAAAGGCAAUUUAAUCUGAAUGUCUUUUUUUUUUGCAUUUUCUUAGGUAUUAGGUUCUUUUUCACUCAUCACGCAUGUACCAUAAGGCGAAACACACUUUUGUUCACCAUCUUUUUGACGUUUUACUGUAUGAAAUAAUAUUUUAUUGUUAUGCUCUUUGAUUGAAAUAGUUUCAACAUGUAAGCAAUAACAAAUAUGAUCUUCAGACUCAAAACUUAUUUUAUUGUAUGAUUGGAAGAUCUUAGAGAAUCAAAGCUACUUCUCAUUCUAUUCAUGAUAGCCUACAAAUUAUGUACUAAACUUUCCAAAACAAUUUGAAAUUUACAGGUUCUUUCUGAUUCAUCUAGUUGUACCAAGCUAGCUUGUGAUACAUGUGCUUUUUCAGUUAUCUUGAAUUUUAUUCAAAAUUUA
RNAcentral lists this long non-coding RNA (1277 nucleotides) under Brassica rapa (field mustard). RNAcentral's name for it is "long non-coding RNA (BRAP_LNC004433)". The record is from RNAcentral. Lineage: Eukaryota; Viridiplantae; Streptophyta; Magnoliopsida; Brassicales; Brassicaceae.